CUUUUUUUUAGAUGACUUAAAUAUAGGAAUAUUCACCAAUGCAGAAUCACAUUGUGGAUCAUUAAUGGAGAGGGACAUCACAAAUUGUUCAUCUCCUGAGAUUUCGGCAGAACUUAUUGGACAGUUUAGCACCAAGAAAAACAAGCAAGAACUAACUCAGGAUAAAGGAGCCAGCUUAGAAAAAGAAAACAAUCGGUGUAAUGACCAGUGUAAUCAGUUCACAAGAAUAGACAAACAAACAAAACACAUGAAGAAAUAUCCUAAAAGGCCCGAUUGGAAUAUAAAUAAGCCACCUAAAAGGUAUAUUCCAGUAUCAGAAAAGUACCCUAAACAGCUUCAAAAGCAGAGAGAAGAAAAAGAAGUAAGGAGGCCGAUGGAAUUGCUUCAUUUGGUAGAAAAAAAUAAUCCUGGGCACCUCUCUCAAAACAGAGGCAUUUCACCAGAAAUUUUUCAUUCAUCUCAUCAAGAAACUGAGUCAAAGUUCAGGUGGCAUCUAGUCAAAAAGGUAAAGCUCUUCCAUCUUAGAAGAUGUGUUGACGUUUCUGGAUUCAAAACACAGUUUCUCAUAUGUAUGCUUUGGUAAGGCUGUUCUGAUCUGUUUCAGUUUACAUUAGGGAUCAGCAAACUAUAUCCCAUGGGCAAAUCCAGGCUGCUACCUGGUUUUGGAAAGUUUUGUACGAACAUAGUCAACCCAUUCUUUUAUGAAUCGUCUGUGGCUGACUUCACACACCAGACUAGCAACAGAAACAAUAUGGCCCACAAAGCUGAAAAGGUUUCCUUAUGCUUAUCAAGUGCUUUACACUUAUACAACUUCUAUAGAUGAAUGCUGUGUAUUCAAAUACCCCUUUAAAACCCUUGUUUAUAGUCCACAUAGACAGAGGUUUGGGAGAUGAGGAACUCCCAAGGAUUAGUUUUGACUCUGGAAAAAACUAAAUCUAUCUAUUCUAUUGCUCAGUCAGUACCUGUUAUUCAAAUAUUACCCUCAGAUUAUUUCAACAAGUAGCCCUAAAAAAUAUUUGUGGAGACAUGUGAAAAUGCUAUAUAUUCCUUUCUGCAUUUAUCUGUCCAUCUUUUAGGAAGAAGAGCCUCUGAAUAUUCAUUCAUUUAGCAAGGAAAGGUAUGUAUGCAUCAGAUUAAUUCCGCAGCUACUUAGUGCUUUCUGUGUGGGACAAAAAAGGGAUUCAAGAUCUGGACAGCAUCAUAUGGUAUAUGUAGAGAACAAUCAGAAAGGGUGUGGCUUCCAGGUGAGGGUUAGAGGUUUAAGGGAUAGUGUGGCACUUUAGCAGGAGCUUGAAGGCCCAAGUUGGACUGGGCCUAGGCAGGAAUGUAGAUAACACUUACUUUUAUCUCUAGACUUAACUAAGUGAUUUUGAUAUUCCAGGUAUGUCAUUAGCAGAAUAGGCAUUCUGCUUUGGGAGGAGGGAUGGCGGGGGGGCGGUGAAUGGGAAGAAAUGACUGAUAAGGACAAUGAGAAAUUCAGUCAGUUAAUGAGAGAUUUAGAACCAUUAGAAUUUUUAUUCUGCCUUUGUGUAUGAACCAGCUGGUUUAGUUGUCCCAGAAUGGGGCUCUAAAAACAAGUUUCGUUCAGAUGGUGAGUACAUUAUUGUAUGGUGAAUUAUCUAAGGAGAAGCAGUAGGCUCAGAUUAACCAAGCCAGCAGUGUUCCGCAGGAUCUAGUAAUUAAAUUUCUCCCUUGUGCUACAGUACACAUACCAUAGCUAGUGCUAGUAAAAACAUAAAUGAAUACCAUUCUCUUCCCCGGUUUUAUGGAACAUUAUUAUAGAGUUCAGGCUUCUAUGCGUAUAUUCCCAAAGGUGUUACAGGUACAUUUAGAAUAAAGUGAAAUGGGCCAGGCAUGUGGCUCACGCCUGUAAUCCCAGCUACUUGGGAGGCUGAGGCAGGAGAGUUGCUUGAACCCAGGAGGCAGAGUUGCAGUGAGCUGAGAUCGUGCCACUGCACUCCAGCCUGGGCAACAGAGCGAGACUUCAUCUCAUAAAGAAAGUGAAAUGUGAUUAAAGAGAUACACUUAAUUUAAAUACACAAUUUUUUACUACGGCUAUUUUUUUUUUUUUUUUAAAUAGGUCUCCAUCAUCACCAGUUCCAGCAGUGAAAAACAGAACCCAACAAACUCAAAAUACAUUACACUUACCACUAAAAAACAGUAGCUAUGAGAGAGAGAAUUUGAUCUCAGGAGGUAAUCAAGCAGAAUUAUCAUCUGGGAUUUCUGAAUCAUCCCAUUUUAUUCCCUAUGUUCGAACAAAUGAGAUCUAUUACCUUGAUCCCGAUGCACCAUUGUCUGGGCCUUCAACCCAGGACCCUCAGUACCAAAAUUCACAAGACUGUGGCCAAGAACGACAGCUAUUUGAUUCUGACUGUGUCAGGGAUCCACUUCUUAAUCCUAACAUGGUGAAAAAUAGGGAUCGACAGCAAGCAAUCCUUAAGGGACUUUCAGAACUGAGACAGGGCCUUCUCCAGAAGCAAAAGGAGUUGGAAAGUAGUCUCCUGCCUUUAGCUGAAAAUCAAGAAGAGAAUUUUGGUUCUUCAUUUUAAAUGUAGAAAAUCAAAUCCUUCACAUUUGAUUUGUGUCUUCCAAAUUAUAAAAUGUGCUCACUGGCUCAACUGUAUUUUUCAAAUAGCCUAGAUUUACUUAUUUUUUUAAAUGCUCAUUAAAAACUUGUAUACUAUGUAGUAAAA
RNAcentral lists this small RNA (2693 nucleotides) under Pongo abelii (Sumatran orangutan). RNAcentral's name for it is "retained intron". The record is from RNAcentral. Lineage: Eukaryota; Metazoa; Chordata; Mammalia; Primates; Hominidae.